Ornithodoros turicata is the source of this 407-nucleotide long non-coding RNA. RefSeq lists it as uncharacterized. Lineage: Eukaryota; Metazoa; Arthropoda; Arachnida; Ixodida; Argasidae. The record is from RefSeq and is a predicted model, not a curated record. The transcript has 4 exons.
GUGCGCGUGACUGGCGGAAGUCACGACAGACGCCCUUAUAAAAGCCACGAACGCUGUUCGAUAUUAAUUCUUCAGCAUCGACGUCUGCAGGCUCUGAAGACAAUCAUCAUGAAGACGGCCAUCAUUAUUCUGUUCGUUCUGGUCGCUUGUUGCGCCGUUUCCGAGGUGGAAGCGUUGCAUCAUCGAGCCUUGCAGCGUUCAAUCAGGGCUGCUGCCCAAGGCUUCGCUCCAUCGUCGCUGGGGGCCUCUGGCAGUGAGCGGUUCCUUAGGGCCACCUGCUUGGGCGUAGGGAUGUUCAUGUCUGCACCCUACACGUGCUGACGGCACCUGGAUAGCGCUCUUCAAAGGGUCACCGAUACCAGUGGUUCUUGUACACUUUUACUGUGAAAUAAACACAUUGCACGAGA